Callithrix jacchus (white-tufted-ear marmoset) is the source of this 804-nucleotide long non-coding RNA. RefSeq lists it as uncharacterized. The record is from RefSeq and is a predicted model, not a curated record. Lineage: Eukaryota; Metazoa; Chordata; Mammalia; Primates; Cebidae.
GUUGCCUAAGUGGCACCGGGCUCAGCCAUGUGCUAAAAUCACAGCCUGAGCAGGCUCUCUGAGCUUUAUUGUCAACUUUACAUGAUAAAGAUAACAGCAGCUUCCUUGAAGACUGCUUUAAGAAUUGCAGAUUCAUCAUUAGUUGGGCUUUCAUCAUGUUGACCAGGCUGGUCUCGAACUCCUUACCUCAGGUGAUCCACCUGCCUCUACCACAGAAAAUGCUGUGAUUACAGAAGCUCUUCAACACAGCUACCUUUUAUGUUAUAUGUUCACCCUGAAACCAAUUACUGUACUACUUCCUGUCACCAUGUGAAGAAGGAUGUGUUUGCUUCACCUUCUGCCAUAAUUGUAAUUUUCCUGAGGCCUCCCCAACCUUGCAGAACUACUUCCUGUUCCUUGAUGCUCAAGAGAGGGAGAAAAAAAGACAAGAUAAGUCUAUAGUGGACCUUGGCACUUGGAAAUUCACCAGGGAAAAACUAGACGAUACUGUGUGAAGGUCUGACCAACAUAAAGGAUGCGACAAGGAUGCCCCAAGACUCAGGAUGUUGGGAAGUUAAGGCACCAGGAGUAACCAGAAUGCAGAAUGAAGAAUAGUUCUUCUGCUGUGAGGAUCCACUGGGUUGCCACUGACCCAUUGCCUGAGGGUACGCAAUGAAACCGGAAUCAGUGACUGUAGAUGGCAGCUCAGACGGGGAAACGACACGUCUAAUAACCAACAGGAAUGGAUAUUAAUUAGGUGGAAUGACAAUAAUUAACAGAAAUGACAAGUCUAAUAAAUUUUCACUUAAGUGUUGUCAUAUGGCA